GACAGAGGGUGCAAACGUUGUUCGGAAUUACUGGGCGUAAAGCGCGUGUAGGCUGCUUGGAAAGUCGGAUGUGAAAGCCCUGGGCUCAACCCAGGAAGUGCAUUCGAAACUUCCGAGCUCGAGUUCUGGAGAGGAUAGCGGAAUUCUCGGUGUAGAGGUGAAAUUCGUAGAUAUCGGGAGGAACACCGGUGGCGAAGGCGGCGACCUGGGUCGAGACUGACGCUGAGGCGCGAAAGCGUGGGGAGCAAACAGG
Molecule: ribosomal RNA, 253 nt
Filed under: uncultured bacterium
Lineage: Bacteria
Description: partial 16S ribosomal RNA
Rfam family: Bacterial small subunit ribosomal RNA
Source: RNAcentral